Molecule: long non-coding RNA, 4445 nt
Organism: Canis lupus familiaris (dog)
Lineage: Eukaryota; Metazoa; Chordata; Mammalia; Carnivora; Canidae
Exons: 3
Source: RefSeq, a predicted model, not a curated record
UUGUUAACUGUUCGCACGCUGGUCUGCGUUACUGUAUCCUUGUUAACUGUGCUUUUGUCUGCAUUAUUUGUUAACUGUCAUAACUGUGCCUUUGUGUGGAUGGGAGACAUAAUGGGGCAGACACAAACCACACCCCAGUCCCUUAUGCUCUCCCACUUCUCAGACAUUAAGAAAAGGGCUCAUAAUCUGAGCACAGACAUAUGGAAAGGGAAAUUCCAAAUGUACUGCAUGUCAGAAUGGCCAAGCUUUGAUGUGGGAUGGCCCUGAGAUGGAACUUUCCACCUACCUAUUAUCUUACAGGUAAAGGCCGUGAUCUUCAGAGACAAACUGGAUGGCAACCCUGACCAGGUGCCUUACAUCCUGGCCUGGCAGGACAUGAUCGAGAAUCCCCCUCCUUGGCUAAAACUAUUUUUACCCCCCAAAGCAAGACCUCCCAAGAUUCUAGCCCUGUGGAAAGCGGAGAAGGAGACUGACUCUAAGACCAAAGAGGCCCUUUAUCUGGUCUUGCAGGAUUCCUCCCCAGAAGACCUGAUUCUCCCACCGCCCUACCUGAUGCCCCCUCACCCUUCUGCCCCCCCCCCCCAUCAUAGGUACGGGGGCUGCAGAAGGGGCGCCACCCCUCCCAGAUGAGGGAAUUUCUGUGUGCGGGCCAGCAGCGGGGACACGGAGAGGGACCCACCGAGGGGCCUCACCCCCUAACGCAGGGCUGGCUGACUCCACCACCCUUCCCUCUGCACCAUGGGACUCCCCUGACGAGACUGGUGGACAGCUAAUGUUAUAUUGGCUGUUCUCCACCAGUGAUUUAUAUAAUUAGAAAACCCAAAAUGCAAAGUUCUCUGAUAGUCCAAAAGAUCUAAUAGGGCUUUUAGAUACUGUUCUUUUUACCCACCAGCCUACUUGGGAUGACUGCCAACAGUUCUUGGAGGUUCUCUUCACCACCGAAGAGAGGAAACGAAUUCAGGUGGCAGCCCAGAAGUCUGUCCUGGGAGAGGACAGACAGCUGACUCAAAACCCAGACCUCAUAAACGCUGCCUUCCCCUUAUCUUGCCAUACCUGGGACCACAACUCAGCUGAAGACCACAGUUUCUCUAUCCAUCAUCUUUCAAUGGACACCGAGGCUCCUUCCAGAGUCUGGCUACUGUGGACAUCGCUGCGAGAAACAUCGGGGUGCAGGUGUCCCGGCGUUUCACUGCAUCUGUACCUUUGGGGUGAAUCCUUUCACUGCCUGUGCCAUUGGCUUCCACCGGAUGAUCGUCCUACAUUUUGGGGCCCACAACCGACACCACAAGCAUCUCCAGUAUCUCUGUGCCUCACUUGCCUUAUAUAUAAAAUGGAGAUAAUGGUAGCACUUAUGUUGUAAAGUUCUUCUAAGAGAGUUAACAGUUAUAAAGCAUUUAGAACAGCUCCUAGCACCUAGUGAGUACUUGAAGCUGUUGUCACUUUUAUUUUAAUUAUUUCUAUAUCCAGAGAAAAUACAUAUUAAAAUACAUCUGCUUAAGACUGAGUAUGGACAGAUGGCUAGAAAGGAGCCAAAAAUGAACAAAGAAUUAGUCAAGUGUUUUGCUCUCCAAAACUCCCAAUUAUUUCCUGUAUAAUAAUCAAAAAAGGCAUUGCUUUGGGGACAUCAACUAAAUAUUUCUUUUCCUAGGAGUGUGACGGUUAAUUGCAGGAGUCAACUUGACAAAGUUAAAAGGUGCCUGCAUAUCUGGUAAAACAUUAUUUCUGGGUGUGUCUGUACAGAGUGUUUCUGGAAAAGAUUAACAUUUGAACUGAUAGACUGAGUAGUAAACUACUAACUGAUAGACUGAGGGUAAACUUCAUCCAAUUGAAAAGGUAGAGGAAGGCCAAAUUUGCUCUCUGUGCUUGAGCUGGGAUAUCUUUAUCUUCUGCCCCCAUUAGCUCUCCUGGUUUUUGGACCUUCAGAUUGGGACCAGCAUUUAUAUUAUUGACACCCUGGUUCCUAGGCCUUUCAAUUCAAACUGAAUUAUGACCCCAGUUGUUCUAGUUCUCCAACUUGCAUACAGCAGAUAGUGGCACUUCUCAGCCUCCAUAAUCACAUGAAACAACUCCUAUAAUAAAUGUCCAGGUAGAUAGAUGGAUAUGUAGAUAGAUGAUUGAAAGAUAUAUAUAUAUAUAUAUAUAUAUAUAUAUAGAGAGAGAGAGAGAGAGAGAGAGAGAUGCUAUUGAGUCAGUUUUUCUGGAGAAAUUCUGGAAUUUCCAGAAUUCCUUUUCUGGAAAGGCAAGGAAUAAACUUGCCUUUCUCAGAAGAUAUCAGCCAAAAUUCCAAUUAUCCUCAUAUGGCUUUUUAAUCCCAAGGCCCCUCAUCUCCACCCAGAAAUUUAUCUUUUCUACAGUAUCUUCUCUCUUUUCCCCAGACAAAUCCUCCUCAUUCUUUUAAGCCCAAACUCCCACCUGGGGCAUGAUUGCCUUCUCGGUUAUUGAAGUCUAUCCUAACCCUUCCUCCCUGUGAAAAUCUUUAAUACACCACAACACAUAAUUCAGCACACAAAGACUGAUAAUCUAUCAUUUUUCAUACACAUAAUAUUAUCUUACUAGACUGUAAGUUUAAGAGGAGAAUCAGAAAUUUAGCAACAGAUUGACUCCAAAGUCCAUUCUCUUGAUUGUACUUAUUAAUGGGUUUAAAUCUGUAUUCCUUACAUAAUUAUAAACCAUUUAAAGUCAAAACAUCUUAGACAUUAUAAUACCCCUGCUAGGCCAUUUAAGUAACAUAACAUAACAUAACAUAACAUAACAUAACAUAACAUAACAACAGUGGAAGUAUAGUUUAUCUGCUGUAUUUGGCGGAAAUUAAAUGUGUUUUAUAAUAUAUACAGGCUGAUAUUUUCCUAUUAGAUAGUUAUGUUUAUAGAAAAGUAAUGAAAAAGAGAAAAUUGAGGGGAAAAGCCCAAAAGGAAAGUUUCAGAGAAAUAAAAUUAUUUAGACUAAAGAAAGGAAGUCAGGUGGAUGAAAUAAAUGUUAUAGUUGAUGAAAACCUGAGCUUAAAUUUCUGAGAAAAGAGCCAGAUGAUAUAUAAGAAAAAAUUCUAUCAGAGUGUAAAUUUGUAGAACAUAAAAACCAACAGCCAAACAAAGAUUCCCCUCUUUGAAAACUACUGAAGAGAAUAACUGUCUAUCUGAACAAGAUUAUUUCCUGUUCUGCCUAAAAGCCUGGGGAUGGGUAAGAAAGUCUAUUUCAUAAAUUGUGAAAUCUGCUUAAAAAAAUAUAUAUUAAACAUGUUCGGUUUAAAAAAGAAAAACUAUGAUCUGUAAUUUUAUUCCUGCUGCUUUUCCUCAGAGAGUGAUGAUUACAAACAAUUCUUUAACCUUUUAAAUUAUCAGAAAAUGGGCAGCUUAAUUACACAUCAUGAGGUAGAGUACAGUGGGAAAGCGGCUACAGUGGUUGGAAUUCAGGUACAAGGGCAACAGAGACAUUGUAAAGAAAAAAAAUACUCCUCAAACUAAGUAAAUAAACCAAAGAAAAGACAAUCAGACAACUGGAAAAAGAUAAUAUCCAUCUAUAUUUGCCUAAUUUGAUAUUUCAAUUAAUAAACUUAGAAAAAGACUCAAAAUAUCUCAAAAUCUGUCAACUAAAGGAGUUUUUUUUUGGUUUGGGGUUUGUUUUUUGUUUUUUGUUUUUUAUUUUUGUCAACUAAAUUUUGAAUAGAUUAAAUCAUGCUUCAUUCCACUAGAAUGCAAAUGCUUUGAACAGAGACAUUGUCAUGUUAAAUGUUUUAUCUUUAUCCCCCAGCACAGCCCUUGGAACCUUUGUCAAAACUAAAGUGAAUUCAUAUGUAUGGCAGCCACAUCCAACCUGCACCCAGAGAAGACUGGUGGAAGCCUCAGUGCAGUGUUACAGAGGCCACCAAAACCACAAUCUAAAAUUCAGCCUUUUACUCAUUGGACGGCCCUUGAAUCUGUAUCAACCACGGCAAGAGGGGCGUUCACUUAUAUUAUGGCAAGUCCAUUAUGCACGAAGCACCGCCCUAGGUACUAGGGGUACAGGGUGCACACGUGGCCGGGCUGGCAGCUCUCUCCUUAACCUGCUUCUAUUUUCUCAGUGAAAUAGAAAGCAGACUCAUCAGCUAAGGGAACAAAGGAGAGAAAGUAUUGAAGGUUUGAGGAGAGAGGAGAAAGCAUGAAACAGGCAUUUGGGGGAGUGGGGGAGUCAGUGCGAGGAAGUGAAGCCCAGCCCCACGCGGUGCCCAGGGCCCCCAGAGUCGUGAGCUAAGGAGAAAUUACUGAGGCCCCUGGGUGCUUGCCUCCAACCACAUGCAGCUGUUCAGGGCAGCACAGAGACCAGCCGGAUUGAACCAGAAGUUUGGCUUCACCAGACAAGCACUGCAGUUGGAGAGGAGAAGUCCAUGAAAAACAAAGUGCCUCUUGAAUAGGAACAGAUCACUCUAAAUUGUGUAAAUCCCCUCAACAAUAAAAAUGUAUUGAAAUCAA